UACAGAGGGUGCGAGCGUUAAUCGGAAUUACUGGGCGUAAAGCGUGCGUAGGUGGUUUAAUAAGUCAGAUGUGAAAUCCCCGGGCUCAACCUGGGAACUGCAUUUGAAACUAUUAGGCUAGAGUACGGUAGAGGGAAGUGGAAUUUCCAGUGUAGCGGUGAAAUGCGUAGAUACCGGAAGGAACAUCAGUGGCGAAGGCGACUUCCUGGACCGCAACUGACACUGAGGCACGAAAGCGUGGGGAGCAAACAGG
RNAcentral lists this ribosomal RNA (253 nucleotides) under uncultured bacterium. Its description in RNAcentral is "partial 16S ribosomal RNA". It matches the Rfam family "Bacterial small subunit ribosomal RNA", at positions 524 to 776 of the family's 1533-position model. The record is from RNAcentral.